CCAGCCCUAGGACCCCUUAAUUUCAAAACUCUACUUCAUUCUAUCAAAAUUCCGGUGGAAAAAUUGGACGAAAUGAAGUCACGAUGAUCCCUUAAUUGCAAUAAUUAAUAAACUACAAACAUAAAAUUGCGAAAAUCAAAAUUACUGUUGUAAAGAAGAAUAAGAAUAGGUGAAGCCCACAUAGCCAACUAACACCCACCAAACCUAACCACACACCCACCAAACCAAACCACUACCCAAUUGAUUGAAGAAUAUUAAUGAUGUUGUUGAUUGAAGAAUAUUAAUGAUGUUGUCUACCAAUUAUUUUGUGAGGUGAACGACCAAUGUCUUAGGCCUAUAAAUAGAUACCUCCAUCAAGAGAAGUUUACACAUAUAGAAGAGGAAGAGAAGGAAGAAUGAGAGUGAGUGAGUUGAGAGGAAAGAGAGCAAGAGAGAAAUUCUUCAAGAGAGAAAAUUGAGUGAGCCAUACAUAUUGUAAACACAAAGUUGUAGCCCUAUUAUUUUACAUAGUGGAAAAAUUACUGCUGCUGCUCUCCGGGGAUGUAGGCAUAGCCGAACCUCGUUAAAUACUGUGUCUCAUCUACUUUACGUGCAGCUGAAUAUUCGCACAUAUACCAGUUCAUUUUAUAACACGUUAUCAGCACGAGAAGCUCUCAGGUAUAAUUUUUGUGUUGCACUAUUAUCUAUACUACUAACCCUUAUGUUGAUGUAAGGAAGAAAAGUAGUGGAGGAGUUGUGGUAUGCAAGAGAGAUAUACGAGCAAACCAACUGUAAGGAUAAGCUCUAUGCCUCUUACUUUUUCUAUUAUUUUAUUAUUUCUCUACACAGCAAGUUCAACUUAAUUGCAAGUGAAAAGAAGAAAAGCCAACAUGAUAUGUCUAGCUUUCCACUAAUAUAUUAGUAUAAUAAUAUCAUAUUAUUUGAUUGUGGUGUUGAUAUGAAUGCACAAAUAAUUAUCUUUACUUUAUCCUUAUAUAUGGUAAUUAUAUGGACAGUUUCACCUUCUAUAUUUUUUGUGGUGGUUUUUAUCCCCAUAUUUAUUUUAUUUACUGUAUGGUGUAGGAUUAUUACCCAUACAACAGUAUUUAUUUAAAAGGGUGGUGCGGGUUUAUCGUCAACGCCUUUACUUUUAUUUAAAUGUAUGGAGCAGAAUUAGUGCCCAUACAAACACAUUUAAUUUUAUUUAAGGUAUGGUGCGGGAUUAACGUCCAUACAGCAAACAAUUUAAUUUAUGAAUUUAUUUUAUCGCACAUUUACAUUUAUUUAAAGUAUGAUGCGGGUUUAUCAUCCAUACAACAGUAUUUAUUUAAAAGGGUGGUGCGGGUUUAUCGUCCACGCCUUUACUUUUAUUUAAAUGUAUGGAGUAGAAUUAGUGCCCAUACAAGCACAUUUACUUUACCGCACAUUUAAUUUUAUUUAAGGUAUGGUGCGGAAUUAACGUCCAUACAGCAAGCAAUUUAAUUUAUGAAUUUAUUUUACCGCACAUGUACAUCUAUUUAAAGUAUGGUGCGGGUUUAUCGUCCAUACCAGUAAUUUAUUUUAUGGAUUAAUUGUGCUGUAUGAUGAGUUUUUACAGUAUGCAGAUCAGGACCAGAAGUUCCUUGAUCCUCAUCAUACAAUUACAUCAGGACUUGAAGAUCCUUGAUGAUGAUGUUAAUAUGAGAGCUGGCAGUCUCUCCGGUACUAUAUUUGUAAACAUGUGAUUGGACUUGAGGGUCCUUGAUCCCUGACAUGUAAAUAAGGACCUGGGGUCCCUUAAUGAUGUAACAGUACCGUAUUGGUUCAUAAUGCCGUACACAUGGAUGAUAACUGUACUGGCAAAUGUACUGUACACAUGAAUAGAUACGUAUUCAUGACUUGAUGAAUAGUACCGGAUAUAUGAAUAGUGACGUAUACAUAAAUAUUAAUCAUUUUGGGUAAACCAUCACUAUUCAAAAAGGGAACCUGCAGUUCCUUAAACUCAUGGAUGAGCAAUUAAAUGAGAUGCCAGAAGUUCCUCAAGAUAUUGACAAUUACGUAAGGGCUUGAGGUCCAGAAAUAUGUACAGAAAAUUGUAAAAAUGUCCAUACCAUGAGAACAUGUGAUUUUGGCCCGAAGUUCAAAAUCUAAGGGGAUUGAAUUUCCAUACCAUGAGAAUAUGUGAUUUUGGUCUGAAGUUCAAAAUCUAACAGUGUUGAGAACCUGAAGUUCCAACAAUUAAAUGGACAACCCUUGAGGUAUUAUUGCAAAUUGUGGUACGCCACAUAUUUCUUUGGCAUAAGAGAAUGAUGAAUUGAGGCUCCCCACAUAUUUUGUUAUAUCUGGGCCGGAAGCUCAUGAACCCAAAUAUAUGAGAUAUUAGCGUGGCUUUUACUCAAUCCAUAUUUCAUGUUCAUUUGAAAAGGGCAAAUAAAUUCUGAGUUUGUGUUUAGCACAGGCCAAAAGUUCCAUACGUUGAAAUAUGAAAUUUGGGAGAGUCGAUGUGGUUAUUUGAACCUAUAAGACAUCAUAUUUUCCAGAUAGGGCUCAACUCCAUCACCAUCAUUUUGGGAUGAUGUGAGGUAUAUUUGAUGCUAUCUCCGCAUAACACCAUGUACGGACAUAUUCUUUCAAGUGAACUUACAAAUAACCCAAGUUUUGUUAGAAACGCGGACUCUGAAAAUUCUAUGAUUUACAUAGAGAUAGCUCACUGGAAAUAUAUUUACUUACUCAACUACGAGAAUUAUUAAUGGCUAUAUCCUCCACUCACUCCGAAAGAUUCUCACUCCAAAAGAUAGUCAUGAAGACAUCAUGGGGAGAUAUUAAUCAGGGGGAGCAUCCAGAAGUAUGCUAUACAGAUUGCUGUACUCUUUUUUUUCUUCAUUCCAUCAGUUUUCUACCUCACUGGGUUUUUCUCCAAGCAAGGUUUUAAUGAGGCAACCAAUCUAGGGACAUGUGGUCUCCAAGGGGGAGUGUUGUAAAGAAGAAUAAGAAUAGGUGAAGCCCACAUAGCCAACUAACACCCACCAAACCUAACCACACACCCACC
This 3007-nucleotide long non-coding RNA is filed under the name Prunus persica (peach). RNAcentral's name for it is "long non-coding RNA (PPER_LNC003192)". The record is from RNAcentral. Lineage: Eukaryota; Viridiplantae; Streptophyta; Magnoliopsida; Rosales; Rosaceae.